RNAcentral lists this transfer RNA (542 nucleotides) under uncultured Prochlorococcus sp. RNAcentral's name for it is "partial 16S-23S ribosomal RNA intergenic spacer". The stretch from base 212 to 284 matches the Rfam family "tRNA". Lineage: Bacteria; Bacillati; Cyanobacteriota; Cyanophyceae; Synechococcales; Prochlorococcaceae. The record is from RNAcentral.
CAGGGAGACAACAAAAUGUUUAAUAUUAUUAUUUUGUCACCUUAGGUCGAUCGGUAUCUCACGUUUUUAAUUUAUUAAGAAUUUCAUUUCCUAAGUUUUUCUAGGUCACACCCAUUAUUUUUCCUGGGCCAUUAGCUCAGGUGGUUAGAGCGCACCCCUGAUAAGGGUGAGGUCCCUGGUUCAAGUCCAGGAUGGCCCAUAUCUCUAUGUUGGGGGUAUAGCUCAGUUGGUAGAGCGCCUGCUUUGCAAGCAGGAUGUCAGCGGUUCGAGUCCGCUUACCUCCACUGAUCACCACCUCUUCCAUAAUUGGUAAAAAGGAAAUUUUUUGAGUUGUGAUCAAAUUCUGAAAGAAUCUAGCUUCCUAAUGAAAUCAUUAAGAUGCUGGACUCAUUGAAUUAAUUUCAUUGUUUUCAGAGAACCUUGACAACUGCAUAGAUUAUUUUUAAAGACAAUAAGCAUCUUUAAUGAUGCAGAUUUAUUAUUUGUGCAAAUGCAUUAAUAACAAUUCUAUUAAGCUGAUGCUUCAAUAAUUUGAAGUUAUU